Long non-coding RNA from Oncorhynchus nerka (sockeye salmon), 662 nucleotides. RefSeq lists it as uncharacterized. The record is from RefSeq and is a predicted model, not a curated record. The transcript is spliced from 2 exons. NCBI's taxonomy places the organism in Eukaryota, Metazoa, Chordata, Actinopteri, Salmoniformes, Salmonidae.
ACAGACAGUCACCAACAAGAAGGAAGGAAGUACAACUCAGAGUCCAAUCAGCCAACUGGCCGACCAGCAGCUGGCAUCGCACUAGUGAAGAGUUCAAGGGGUUCGUUCUGCUUUCACAGGCCACCUUCUGUAAAAGAGGAAAUGGUUCAGAAAUGGGGAGUCAACAAAAAUAAACUUCAGGUUAAACUGUUAACUUAUGAAAUAAGGACCUAAAAACUAAGGACAGAAAAAUCCAGACCUGAGCCCUAGGACCAUGCCCCAGGACCACCUGACAUGAUGACUCCUUGCUGUCCCCAGUCCACCUGACGGUGCUGCUGCUCCAGUUUCAACUGUUCUGCCUUAUUAUUAUUCGACCAUGCUCGUCAUUUAUGAACAUUUGAACAUCUUCGCCAUGUUCUGUUAUAAUCUCCACCCGGCACAGCCAGAAGAGAACUGGCCACCCCACAUAGCCUGGUUCCUCUCUAGGUUUCUUCCUAGGUUUUGGCCUUUCUAGGGAGUUUUUCCUAGCCACCGUGCUUCUACACCUGCAUUGCUUGCUGUUUGGGGUUUUAGGCUGGGUUUCUGUACAGCACUUUGAGAUAGCAGCUGAUGUACGAAGGUCUAUAUAAAUACAUUUGAUUUGAUUUGAAGAUUUCAUGUACCAAAUAAAAAUCGAAAGUUCA